ACGAACGCUGGCGGCAGGCCUAACCCAUGCCAGUCGAGCGAGGACUUCGGUUCUAGCGGCGGGCGGGUGAGUAACGCGUGGGAAUGUGCCCUUCUCUACGGAAUAGCCCUGGGAAACUGGGAGUAAUACCGUAUACGCCCUAUUGGGGAAAGAUUUAUCGGAGAAGGAUCAGCCCGCGUUGGAUUAGGUAGUUGGUGGGGGAAUGGCCUACCAAGCCGACGAUCCAUAGCUGGUUUGAGAGGAUGAUCAGCCACACUGGGACUGAGACACGGCCCAGACUCCUACGGGAGGCAGCAGUGGGGAAUCUUAGACAAUGGGGGCAACCCUGAUCUAGCCAUGCCGCGUGAGUGAUGAAGGCCUUAGGGUUGUAAAGCUCUUUCAGCUGGGAAGAUAAUGACGGUACCAGCAGAAGAAGCCCCGGCUAACUCCGUG
RNAcentral lists this ribosomal RNA (432 nucleotides) under uncultured bacterium. RNAcentral's name for it is "partial 16S ribosomal RNA". It matches the Rfam family "Bacterial small subunit ribosomal RNA", at positions 29 to 507 of the family's 1533-position model. The record is from RNAcentral.